GAACUCGGCAAAAUGACUUUGUAACUUCGGGAUAAAAAGUACCAAAUUUAAAAAGUUAAGUGUCACAAAAUAGGGGGUUGCGACUGUUUAAUAAAAACUUAGGGCUCUGCUAAAUGGUAACAUGAUGUAUAGGGUCUGACGUCUGCCCGGUGCUGGAAGAUUAAAAGGAAAUGUUUACGGGCAACCGCCACGGCAACUCUCCAAUUCUGCACAUAAUAACUCCGGAACAAUGAAUGAAAGAGUAUUUACGACGGAGGUGC
RNAcentral lists this non-coding RNA (260 nucleotides) under Hyaloperonospora arabidopsidis Emoy2. Its description in RNAcentral is "Bacterial large subunit ribosomal RNA". It matches the Rfam family "Bacterial large subunit ribosomal RNA", at positions 1710 to 1905 of the family's 2925-position model. Lineage: Eukaryota; Oomycota; Peronosporomycetes; Peronosporales; Peronosporaceae. The record is from Rfam by way of RNAcentral.